Molecule: ribosomal RNA, 475 nt
Filed under: uncultured bacterium
Lineage: Bacteria
Description: bacterial SSU rRNA
Rfam family: Bacterial small subunit ribosomal RNA
Source: RNAcentral
AACGCUGGCGGCGUGCCUAACACAUGCAAGUCGAACGGACAGGGGAGCUUGCUCCCCAAGUUAGUGGCGGACGGGUGAGUAACACGUGAGCAACCUGCCCUUCGGAGGGGGGACAACAGUUGGAAACGACUGCUAAUACCGCAUGAAACAGCUGGGAGGCAUCUCCUGACUGUCAAAGAUUUAUCGCCGAAGGAUGGGCUCGCGUCUGAUUAGAUAGUUGGUGAGGUAACGGCCCACCAAGUCGACGAUCAGUAGCCGGACUGAGAGGUUGACGGAAAAAACCACAUUGGGACUGAGACACGGCCCAAACUCCUACGGGAGGCAGCAGUGGGGGAUAUUGCACAAUGGGGGAAACCCUGAUGCAGCCGACGCCGCGUGAGUGAAGAAGUAUUUCGGUAUGUAAAGCUCUAUCAGCAGGGAAGAAAAUGACGGUACCUGACUAAGAAGCUCCGGCUAAAUACGUGCCAGCCGCUGC